AAACCGUUCAGGGGUAAACCUAAGAAACCCAAAAGUUCGAAUGGGGAGAUUCAUCGUCGGUGGCGUUGGCUUUGCGGUGGUUGGCGAUAUUCGCGUGGGAACUUCGGUUCUCUGCGAUACGUCGCCACUGUGCUUAUGUCCGAUGCCGCAGUCGUGCACUUCUCUCCUAGUAGGACGUCGCGACCCGCUGGGCGUUUGAUUACGGGCUGGGUGGUUGACCGUCUCGUCGCUUCGGCGUCGUGACAGACCCCCAGCGUUUCUCACCUGUCAAACUGCUCGGCGGUAUUUUGCGAUGGUAUUCGGCCGCAAUCUUUGAAUUUCGAACGCACUGCGUCAUUGGCUCGUCGCAAGCGCGCGUCAGUGUCCCGUGUGUGACGGAGAAAGUGCCGUCCCCGGGCCUGACCAGCUGUUAGCCGACGAUGUCCUCUGACCGGCCGCUUACCUGUUUGCGACGCUAUUGCAUUGGGUACUCUUAGGACCCGUCUUGAAACACGGACCAAGGAGUCUAACAUGUACGCGAGUCAUUGGGAUGACAAAACCUAAAGGCGAAAUGAAAGUGAAUGUCGGCCUUGCGUCGACAGAGGGAGGAUGGGCUGCGCAAAGCGGCUUCGCACUCCCGGGGCGUCUCGUUCUCAUUGCGAGAAGAGGCGCACCCAGAGCGUACACGUUGGGACCCGAAAGAUGGUGAACUAUGCCUGGUCAGGACGAAGUCAGGGGAAACCCUGAUGGAGGUCCGUAGCGAUUCUGACGUGCAAAUCGAUCGUCGGAACUGGGUAUAGGGGCGAAAGACUAAUCGAACCAUCUAGUAGCUGGUUCCCUCCGAAGUUUCCCUCAGGAUAGCUGGCACUCGUUAAUAUCCUAUCGAACGAGUCUCAUCUGGUAAAGCGAAUGAUUAGAGGCCUUGGGGCCGAAACGACCUCAACCUAUUCUCAAAC
This 935-nucleotide ribosomal RNA is filed under the name Ceropales sp. PO232. Its description in RNAcentral is "eukaryotic LSU rRNA". It matches the Rfam family "Eukaryotic large subunit ribosomal RNA", at positions 402 to 1063 of the family's 3401-position model. Lineage: Eukaryota; Metazoa; Arthropoda; Insecta; Hymenoptera; Pompilidae. The record is from RNAcentral.